Molecule: ribosomal RNA, 490 nt
Filed under: uncultured bacterium
Lineage: Bacteria
Description: partial 16S ribosomal RNA
Rfam family: Bacterial small subunit ribosomal RNA
Source: RNAcentral
AUUGAACGCUGGCGGCAGGCCUAACACAUGCAAGUCGAACGGUAACAGGAAGUAGCUUGCUUCUUUGCUGACGAGUGGCGGACGUGUGAGUAAUGUAUGGGAAAAUGCCUGAUGGAGGGGGAUAACUACUGGAAACGGUAGCUACUACCGCAUAACGUCGCAAGACCAAAGAGGGGGACCUUCGGGCCUCUUGCCAUCGGCUGUGCCCAGAUGGGAUUAGCUAGUAGGUGGGGUAACGGCUCACCUAGGCGACGAUCCGUAGCUGGUCUGAGAGGAUGACCAGCCACACUGGAACUGAGACACGGUCCAGACUCCUACGGGAGGCAGCAGUGGGGAAUUUUGCACAAUGGGCGCAAGCCUGAUGCAGCCAUGCCGCGUGUAUGAAGAAGGCCUUCGGGUUGUAAAGUACUUUCAGCGGGGAGGAAGGGAGUAAAGUUAAUACCUUUGCUCAUUGACGUUACCCGCAGAAGAAGCACCGGCUAACUCCGUG